GUGAAUUUUUGGGUCUCUCAGGUGAAUUUUGGGGUGUCUCAGGUGAAUUUUGGGGUGCCUCAGGUGAAUUUUGGGGUGUCUCAGGUGAAUUUUGGGGUACCUUUCGGCCCCCCCCGUGCCAGCCGCGGGUGGAACUGUCCAUUACCGAUUUUUGGUGUUUCUCAGGUGAAUUUUGGGGUCUCUCAGGUGAAUUUUGGGGUGUCUCAGGUGAAUUUUGGGGUGUCUCAGGUGAAUUUUGGGGUACCUUUCGUCCCCCGCGCCAGCCGCGGGUGGAACUGUCCAUUACCGAUCUGGGGGGGUUCCAGAUGAAUUUUGGGGUGUCUCAGGUGAAUUUUGGGGUACCUUUCGUCCCCCCCCGCGCCAGCCGCGGGUGGAACUGUCCAUUACCUAUUUCGGGGGGUUCCAGGUGUAUUUUUUGGUCUCUCAGGUGAAUUUUGGGGUGUCUCAGGUGAAUUUUGGGGUACCUUUUGGCCCCCCCCGCGCCAGCCGCGGGUGGAACUGUCCAUUACCGAUUUUUGGUGUUUCUCAGAUGAAUUUUGGGGUGUCUCAGGUGAAUUUUGGGGUACCUUUCGGCCCCCCCCGCGCCAGCCGCGGGUGGAACUGUCCAUUACC
This is a non-coding RNA of Taeniopygia guttata (zebra finch), 612 nucleotides long. The record is from RefSeq and is a predicted model, not a curated record. NCBI's taxonomy places the organism in Eukaryota, Metazoa, Chordata, Aves, Passeriformes, Estrildidae.